AGUGAACGCUGGCGGUAGGCCUAACACAUGCAAGUCGAACGGCAGCACAGUAAGAGCUUGCUCUUACGGGUGGCGAGUGGCGGACGGGUGAGGAAUACAUCGGAAUCUACUUUUUCGUGGGGGAUAACGUAGGGAAACUUACGCUAAUACCGCAUACGACCUACGGGUGAAAGCAGGGGAUCUUCGGACCUUGCGCGAUUGAAUGGGCCGAUGUCGGAUUAGCUAGUUGGCGGGGUAAAGGCCCACCAAGGCGACGAUCCGUAGCUGAUCUGAGAGGAUGAUCGGCCACACUGGAACUGAGACACGGUCCAGACUCCUACGGGAGGCAGCAGUAGGGAAUAUUGGGCAAUGGGCGCAAGCCUGAUCCAGCCAUGCCGCGUGGGUGAAGAAGGCCUUCGGGUUGUAAAGCCCUGUUGUUGGGAAAGAAAAGCAGCAGAUUAAUCCCCCGCUGUUCUGACGGUACCCAAAGAAUAAGCACCGGCUAACUUCGUG
This 492-nucleotide ribosomal RNA is filed under the name uncultured bacterium. RNAcentral describes it as "partial 16S ribosomal RNA". It matches the Rfam family "Bacterial small subunit ribosomal RNA", at positions 29 to 507 of the family's 1533-position model. The record is from RNAcentral.